Molecule: ribosomal RNA, 492 nt
Filed under: uncultured bacterium
Lineage: Bacteria
Description: partial 16S ribosomal RNA
Rfam family: Bacterial small subunit ribosomal RNA
Source: RNAcentral
AGUGAACGCUGGCGGUGGGCCUAACACAUGCAAGUCGAACGGCAGCACCGUAAGAGCUUGCUCUUACGGGUGGCGAAUGGCGGGCGGGUGAGGAAUACAUCGUACUCUACUUUUUCGUGGAGGAUAACGUAGGGAAACUUACUCUCAUACCGCAUACGACCUACGGGUCAAAGCAGGGGAUCUUCGGGCCUUGCGCGAAUGACUGAGCCGAUGUCGGAUUAGCUAGUUGGCGGGGUAACGGCCCCCCAAGGGGGCGAUCCGUCGCUGAUCUGGGAGGAUGAAGAGCCACACUGGAACUGAACCACGGCCCAGACACCGACGGGAGGCAGCGGUGGGGAAGAGUGGACAAUGGGCGGAAGCCUGAUCCAGCCAUACCGGGUGGGUGAAGAAGGGCUUCGUGUUGGAAAGCCCUGUUGUGGGGAAAGAAAAGCGGCAGGUUAAAACCCGGCUGUUCUGACGGUACCCAAAGAAGAAGCACCGGCUAACUACGUG